GGAAGGGAAAGGGAAAUGAGAAGGAAGAGAGAGUGAAGGCUAUAGGAAGGAACGUCUCGACAAGGAUCGUCAAAGAAAAUAAGUGUUUGUCUUGUCAACGGCAAGGAGACUGGGUUUUCGUUCGUCUUUCUCACCCAACUAUAUACACGGGCCAGAUGCCUUCUAUGAUAGCAACAAAAAGGAUUGGACCCAACCCCAUUACCCAUAUGGUGAAGCAUAUUGCAGAACAAUUCAGAUUGGCACAAAGUCUAGAAAUGUUGCUGUCAAGAUUUGGAAUGAGGACUCGGAUGACUUACAAGUGAUUUUAUUUUCUGUGUUUUACAGGAAGAAGCAAGGUUCCUGAAGGAUGAUGAAACUACUGCUUCUCUUCCCAAUUUCGUGAAUGUGAUCGGUAAUAAUGCAAAGGGCACUAUCUAUGAUGUCGAUCCACUAGAUACCUUGCAUAACAUGACGACAAGCGGUGCUGCUUCUGCAAGUGAUUCAAGAAAUGGUUGUAAAUUGUUUGAAGCAACUACAAGUUGUGAAAACUCAUUUGCAGUUGUGGAGCAGAACUUCAACUUACUUUCUUAUUGCCAAUAUAUAUUUGUCCUGUACUUAAAAACACUGCUGGUCUGUUUUCUUUAAAGAUGUAAUACGAUGUUUUUUGGGAUU
This is a non-coding RNA of Coffea arabica (coffee), 651 nucleotides long. NCBI's taxonomy places the organism in Eukaryota, Viridiplantae, Streptophyta, Magnoliopsida, Gentianales, Rubiaceae. The record is from RefSeq and is a predicted model, not a curated record.